Molecule: ribosomal RNA, 460 nt
Filed under: uncultured bacterium
Lineage: Bacteria
Description: partial 16S ribosomal RNA
Rfam family: Bacterial small subunit ribosomal RNA
Source: RNAcentral
CCUACGGGUGACAGCAGUGAGGAAUAUUGGUCAAUGGACGGAAGUCUGAACCAGCCAUGCCGCGUGCAGGAAGACGGCUCUAUGAGUUGUAAACUGCUUUUGUACAAGGGUAAACCUGAAUACGUGUAUUCAGCUGAAAGUACUGUACGAAUAAGGAUCGGCUAACUCCGUGCCAGCAGCCGCGGUAAUACGGAGGAUCCAAGCGUUAUCCGGAUUUAUUGGGUUUAAAGGGUGCGUAGGCGGAUUGAUAAGUUAGAGGUGAAAUGUUCGAGCUUAACUCUGGAACUGCCUCUAAUACUGUUAAUCUAGAGAGUAGAUGCGGUAGGCGGAAUGUAUGGUGUAGCGGUGAAAUGCUUAGAGAUCAUACAGAACACCGAUUGCGAAGGCAGCUUACCAAUCUAUAUCUGACGUUGAGGCACGAAAGCGUGGGUAGCAAACAGGAUUAGAUACCCUAGUAGUC